GGGUUGUGAGGUUAAGCGACUAAGCGUACACGGUGGAUGCCCUGGCAGUCAGAGGCGAUGAAGGGCGUGCUAAUCUGCGAUAAGCGCCGGUAAGGUGAUAUGAACCGUUAUAACCGGCGAUACCCGAAUGGGGAAACCCAGUGUGAUUCGUCACACUAUCAUUAACUGAAUCCAUAGGUUAAUGAGGCGAACCGGGGGAACUGAAACAUCUAAGUACCCCGAGGAAAAGAAAUCAACCGAGAUUCCCCCAGUAGCGGCGAGCGAACGGGGAGGAGCCCAGAGCCUGAAUCAGCAUGUGUGUUAGUGGAAGCGUCUGGAAAGGCGCGCGAUACAGGGUGACAGCCCCGUACACAAAAGCGCAUGUGCUGUGAGCUCGAUGAGUAGGGCGGGACACGUGGUAUCCUGUCUGAAUAUGGGGGGACCAUCCUCCAAGGCUAAAUACUCCUGACUGACCGAUAGUGAACCAGUACCGUGAGGGAAAGGCGAAAAGAACCCCGGCGAGGGGAGUGAAAAAGAACCUGAAACCGUGUACGUACAAGCAGUGGGAGCACCCUUUGGGGUGUGACUGCGUACCUUUUGUAUAAUGGGUCAGCGACUUAUAUUCUGUAGCAAGGUUAACCGUAUAGGGGAGCCGAAGGGAAACCGAGUCUUAAUUGGGCGUUAAGUUGCAGGGUAUAGACCCGAAACCCGGUGAUCUAGCCAUGGGCAGGUUGAAGGUUGGGUAACACUAACUGGAGGACCGAACCGACUAAUGUUGAAAAAUUAGCGGAUGACCUGUGGCUGGGGGUGAAAGGCCAAUCAAACCGGGAGAUAGCUGGUUCUCCCCGAAAGCUAUUUAGGUAGCGCCUCGUGAAUUCAUCUCCGGGGGUAGAGCACUGUUUCGGCUAGGGGGCCAUCCCGGCUUACCAACCCGAUGCAAACUGCGAAUACCGGAGAAUGUUAUCACGGGAGACACACGGCGGGUGCUAACGUCCGUCGUGAAGAGGGAAACAACCCAGACCGCCAGCUAAGGUCCCAAAGUCAUGGUUAAGUGGGAAACGAUGUGGGAAGGCCCAGACAGCCAGGAUGUUGGCUUAGAAGCAGCCAUCAUUUAAAGAAAGCGUAAUAGCUCACUGGUCGAGUCGGCCUGCGCGGAAGAUGUAACGGGGCUAAACCAUGCACCGAAGCUGCGGCAGCGA
Molecule: ribosomal RNA, 1178 nt
Filed under: Salmonella enterica subsp. enterica serovar Newport
Lineage: Bacteria; Pseudomonadati; Pseudomonadota; Gammaproteobacteria; Enterobacterales; Enterobacteriaceae
Description: partial 23S ribosomal RNA
Rfam family: Bacterial large subunit ribosomal RNA
Source: RNAcentral